Molecule: long non-coding RNA, 380 nt
Filed under: Calidris pugnax (ruff)
Lineage: Eukaryota; Metazoa; Chordata; Aves; Charadriiformes; Scolopacidae
Description: lncRNA (ENSCPUG00000010100.1)
Source: RNAcentral
AUGGCAGGAGUCGUGGUGAGCGGAGCGCAAGUGUCUUACAUUAGUCAAGACUGUGAAGAAAUUCCAGAAUUCCUAGGAAGAAUAUAUGGACAUAUGGCAAAAAGGCUAGAUCUUAGCUUCAACUUGUUAAGUAGUUUGGAACCUCCUGAUGAGUGGAUUCUGUUCUGUGCCAUCAGUUCUAACAGACUUUGUUGUCCCUACCAGAAUACUCAGAUUUUGGAAGAGUGCUGGAAGUCCAAGAAAACUGCUGACACUGACAGAAGAGGAAAAUAUGAUUUAUGAUGACAUCACGUAUUACCCAAGCAAAUCUGUUUUGAGGAAGAUUGGUUUUUAUGGUGUGUUGAAAUAAAGAAACCGUGAAUCAUUCUUGAAGGAGUAUU